This 795-nucleotide small RNA is filed under the name Pan troglodytes (chimpanzee). RNAcentral's name for it is "retained intron". The record is from RNAcentral. Lineage: Eukaryota; Metazoa; Chordata; Mammalia; Primates; Hominidae.
GGCCCGAGAUGAUGAAGAGCAAAUAUCCACCCUGGGGCCUCAGAGGGGUCCAGCUUGCUGGAGGGAGGGCAGAGAGGAGAGCAGCCUGCCAUUAGUCCCGAGGCUUCCAACUCAAGACUUGGGUUUGGGGUGCUGAGCCCCUGUCUCCUUUUUACAUUUCCCUACCCACAGACCUGAGCGGCCAUGGGAGGUUGGGGUUGGCAUUUGCCUGGGGGAGUUUCUGAGCAAGCAGCACCUGCUACCUUGAUGGAACCCAUUGCUGGGAAUGGCCAGGGCUCAGCACCAGCGCUCAGCAGAUGCUCAGUGCGUUUUGCUGAGUUUGCUGAGGGAAGACUGUUUUCUGUUCUCUCUCACACACACAGAGUGGAUGAGGAUGAGGAUGACCUGGAGGAAGAACACAUAACUAAGAUUUAUUACUGUAGUCGGACACACUCCCAGCUGGCCCAGUUUGUGCAUGAGGUGAAGAAGAGCCCCUUUGGCAAGGAUGUUCGGCUUGUCUCCCUCGGCUCCCGGCAGAACCUUUGUGUAAAUGAAGACGUGAGAAGCCUAGGUUCUGUGCAGCUUAUCAACGACCGCUGCGUGGACAUGCAGAGAAGCAGGCACGGUAGCCACUGGGACCAUGGUGUAGCCGCAGGUGGUCUGGAGAGAGUGAGGCAGGGGUGGCAGUGACUGAAGACCAUUCAGUGUCUUUCAUAGAAAGAAUGGCAGAGGAGACCCCAGUUCCUUCCUGAGUCCCCUCUCCUUGGGAAAAAGUGUUCCUACUCUCUGGGUGAGCGUCUGGUCCGAAUCGUUGGC